AUUGAACGCUGGCGGCAGGCCUAACACAUGCAAGUCGAACGGUAACAGGGAGAAGCUUGCUUCUUUGCUGACGAGUGGCGGACGGGUGAGUAAUGUCUGGGAAACUGCCUGAUGGAGGGGGAUAACUACUGGAAACGGUAGCUAAUACCGCAUAACGUCGCAAGACCAAAGAGGGGGACCUUCGGGCCUCUUGCCAUCGGAUGUUCCCAGAUGGGAUUAGCUAGUAGGUGGGGUAACGGCUCACCUAGGCGACGAUCCCUAGCUGGUCUGAGAGGAUGACCAGCCACACUGGAACUGAGACACGGUCCAGACUCCUACGGGAGGCAGCAGUGGGGAAUAUUGCACAAUGGGCGCAAGCCUGAUGCAGCCAUGCCGCGUGUAUGAAGAAGGCCUUCGGGUUGUAAAGUACUUUCAGCGGGGAGGAAGGGAGUAAAGUUAAUACCUGUGCUCAUUGACGUUACCCGCAGAAGAAGCACCGGCUAACUCCGUG
Molecule: ribosomal RNA, 490 nt
Filed under: uncultured bacterium
Lineage: Bacteria
Description: partial 16S ribosomal RNA
Rfam family: Bacterial small subunit ribosomal RNA
Source: RNAcentral